CCUACGGGUGGCAGCAGUGAGGAAUAUUUGUCAAUGGACGAGAGUCUGAACCAGCCAAGUAGCGUGAAGGAUGACUGCCCUAUGGGUUGUAAACUUCUUUUAUAUGGGAAUAAAAUGUUCCACGUGUGGGAUUUUGUAUGUACCCUAUGAAUAAGGAUCGGCUAACUCCGUGCCAGCAGCCGCGGUAAUACGGAGGAUCCGAGCGUUAUCCGGAUUUAUUGGGUUUAAAGGGAGCGUAGGUGGAUUGUUAAGUCAGUUGUGAAAGUUUGCGGCUCAACCGUAAAAUUGCAGUUGAAACUGGCAGUCUUGAGUACAGUAGAGGUGGGCGGAAUUCGUGGUGUAGCGGUGAAAUGCUUAGAUAUCACGAAGAACUCCGAUUGCGAAGGCAGUUCACUGGACUGCAACUGACACUGAGGCUCGAAAGUGUGGGUAUCAAACAGGAUUAGAUACCCUUGUAGUC
RNAcentral lists this ribosomal RNA (460 nucleotides) under uncultured bacterium. RNAcentral describes it as "partial 16S ribosomal RNA". It matches the Rfam family "Bacterial small subunit ribosomal RNA", at positions 338 to 795 of the family's 1533-position model. The record is from RNAcentral.